Molecule: ribosomal RNA, 403 nt
Filed under: bacterium
Lineage: Bacteria
Description: partial 16S ribosomal RNA
Rfam family: Bacterial small subunit ribosomal RNA
Source: RNAcentral
UGGGGAAUAUUGCACAAUGGGGGAAACCCUGAUGCAGCGACGCCGCGUGAACGAAGAAGGUAUUCGUAUCGUAAAGUUCUGUCCUAUGGGAAGAUAAUGACAGUACCAUAGAAGAAAGCUCCGGCUAAUUACGUGCCAGCAGCCGCGGUAAUACGUAUGGAGCGAGCGUUGUCCGGAAUUAUUGGGCGUAAAGGGUACGCAGGCGGUUUAAUAAGUCGAAUGUUAAAGAUCGGGGCUCAACCCCGCAAAGCAUUGGAAACUGAUAAACUUGAGUAGUGGAGAGGAAAGUGGAAUUCCUAGUGUAGUGGUGAAAUACGUAGAUAUUAGGAGGAAUACCAGUAGCGAAGGCGACUUUCUGGACACAAACUGACGCUGAGGUACGAAAGCGUGGGGAGCAAACAGG